Molecule: ribosomal RNA, 274 nt
Filed under: uncultured bacterium
Lineage: Bacteria
Description: partial 16S ribosomal RNA
Rfam family: Bacterial small subunit ribosomal RNA
Source: RNAcentral
AUACGGAGGGUGCAAGCGUUAUCCGGAAUUACUGGGUUUAAAGGGUGCGUAGGCGGUUUAAUAAGUCAGAAGUGAAGAGUCCGGGCUCAACCGGGGCCUUGCUUUUGAUACUGUUAGACUUGAAUUAGGCUGAGGUUAGCGGAAUGUGACAUGUAGCGGUGAAAUGCAUAGAUAUGUCAUAAAACACCAAUUGCGAAGGCAGCUAACUAGACCUUAAUUGACGCUGAGGCACGAAAGCGUGGGGAGCGAACAGGAUUAGAAACCCUAGUAGUCC